Molecule: long non-coding RNA, 1513 nt
Filed under: Nicotiana tabacum (common tobacco)
Lineage: Eukaryota; Viridiplantae; Streptophyta; Magnoliopsida; Solanales; Solanaceae
Description: long non-coding RNA (NTAB_LNC013154)
Rfam family: mir-166 microRNA precursor family (bases 179-304)
Source: RNAcentral
UCAUCACUCACUCACACUCUCUAUCCCUUUCAUAUAUUUCUCUCCUAUCCCCUCCUUAAAGAAAGGCGAGACUUUUGGGGGAUAAGGAACCAAAAGAGAUCUUGAGAGAGAAAGAGAGAGUAUCACAAACACAACACAUCUAAUGAGAUUAUUAUCGAAGGAAAAAGGAAGCUUUUCUAUUGUGGGGAAUGUUGUUUGGCUCGAGGAUUCAAUUUCUUACUUUCUUUUAUAGAUCUGUAUAUAUGGAUCUAUAAUAUAGGAUUAUGUCUUUGGUAUCGUCGGACCAGGCUUCAUUCCCCUCAAAGAUUGCUACCGUAAUCCUUGCUCACUCGUCAGACAUUUUCGCGAUCUCAAAUAUUUUUGUGUAUUCAGUGGUAAGUUUCAUCUCCUAAGUUUUGUUUUGUUUUGUUUGUUGGCGUUGAUUUUCUGAAGCUUUUGUUUGUCCGUUUGUAAAUCGAUUCUUUUUUUGUUAAGUAGUUAUGUGUUGAUUGGUGUAAUGAUGAAGAUCUUGACUUUUAGGUUUUGCAUUUUUGUUUCAAAUCCCAACCUGAAAAACAGUUUCAUCAUUACAGUCCUUUUUUGGCUAUUUUUUUUUGUGUUUCAAUAGUCAGUAACGUAUGAUUGUGGUCAUGAUUAUGGCUUUUUUGGUAGUAUCUCUUUCUGUAAACAUUCAGAUCUGGAUUCUGCUUUUCAACUUUCUCCAAAACCCUUUCGCCCUUUUUGAUUUUCUCCACAAAUACUUGUCUCUCUCUUUCUUAGCAGGAUUUUUCACAGAUUGGGGUUUAUUUUGUCAAGAACGUACCUUUGCUAAAAAUCGAGCUUUAUUCUUUCUAUAUAUAUGAGUUAAUACAUUCAUAUUAGGCUGAAAAUAAUAUUUGUAUCCAUUGCAUUUCUGUCCGAUAUUGCUGCAUUGUCCGGCCAUUUUGCAUCCAUAAUGUCUUCCUGAAAUUAAGAAGAGAGAAUUAUACAUAAGUACAGUUAUAAAAGAUGUAUAGUGUACAGCUUAAUUUUUAAGAUGCACAGUUUUUGAAGCAUGGUUUUAUAGUACCUCCAACUAUCGUGCGAGUUAAUUUUGUUAGUGUAACCUUUUUUUGUUACAAAUAUAUUUGAUAAGUCGAUACUUGAGUAAAAGAAAACAAAAAGAUAUUUGAGUAAAAGAUUGUCGAAUGCACGUUGUGAACUUGAGACAUGUCGAUAUUGGCAGCUAGAUGUGAUGGAUUUCGUUCUAGCUAGUGCUUGAAAACAGUGGCGGAGUCGGGAUUUUCAGGAAUGAGGUUCAAAUUUUCUCUUUUUUGUAACUAGUGGUAAUUGAAUCUAUAAUCUUACGAAGAUUUUGAACCCCCUGAUCACUAAACUACACUUUUGGGUUGUGCUAAGGGGGUUCAAAACUUAAUAUAUAGACGUAAAAAACAGAUUUUGCCUUAUAUAUACAGUGUAAUAUUUUGGCGAGACCCCUAAAUCCGCCACUGCUUGAAAAUAAUAUUUCAAAGUUUGUAUGUUCUUGUUACUUGUG